This 553-nucleotide ribosomal RNA is filed under the name Salmonella enterica. Its description in RNAcentral is "partial 23S ribosomal RNA". It matches the Rfam family "Bacterial large subunit ribosomal RNA", at positions 1 to 591 of the family's 2925-position model. The record is from RNAcentral. RNAcentral also lists the same sequence under 3 other names. Lineage: Bacteria; Pseudomonadati; Pseudomonadota; Gammaproteobacteria; Enterobacterales; Enterobacteriaceae.
GGUUAAGCGACUAAGCGUACACGGUGGAUGCCCUGGCAGUCAGAGGCGAUGAAGGACGUGCUAAUCUGCGAUAAGCGCCGGUAAGGUGAUAUGAACCGUUAUAACCGGCGAUUUCCGAAUGGGGAAACCCAGUGUGAUUCGUCACACUAUCAUUAACUGAAUCCAUAGGUUAAUGAGGCGAACCGGGGGAACUGAAACAUCUAAGUACCCCGAGGAAAAGAAAUCAACCGAGAUUCCCCCAGUAGCGGCGAGCGAACGGGGAGGAGCCCAGAGCCUGAAUCAGCAUGUGUGUUAGUGGAAGCGUCUGGAAAGGCGCGCGAUACAGGGUGACAGCCCCGUACACAAAAGCGCAUGUGCUGUGAGCUCGAUGAGUAGGGCGGGACACGUGGUAUCCUGUCUGAAUAUGGGGGGACCAUCCUCCAAGGCUAAAUACUCCUGACUGACCGAUAGUGAACCAGUACCGUGAGGGAAAGGCGAAAAGAACCCCGGCGAGGGGAGUGAAAAAGAACCUGAAACCGUGUACGUACAAGCAGUGGGAGCACAGGUUUACCUG